AUGGAGUCUGUACGACACACCUGACUCCCUCCAGCUGUUACUCAAGCCCAUGGCCACCACCCCAGUGUCCUUAACCUUGGGUGCACAUUGGAAUCACCUGGGGAGUUUUGAAAAAUCUUGAUGCCAGGCUGCACCACACAUCAAUUAAAUCAGAAGCUCUGGUGGAUGAGACCAAGGCAUCAAUAGUUUUGAAAAUGCUCCAGGUAAUUUAGUGUACAGCUGUGUUUGACAGCCAUGCAUUGCUCCAUCCUUUCUGGAACACCAUCGUCUCCCAAAUUCAACGCCCUCCUUUCUCAUCUUUAAAAAGGGUGUUUGCCGCAUUUUACAGGGAAGAUGACCUCUUGGGAUGAAGUUUCUUGCAAAACUUCCUUAUAAGGAAGAAAAAGCAUGAAGGAACAAUAGCAAUAAGUUUAGAUAUAUAAUUUUCC
RNAcentral lists this long non-coding RNA (428 nucleotides) under Homo sapiens (human). Its description in RNAcentral is "HSALNT0134507". Lineage: Eukaryota; Metazoa; Chordata; Mammalia; Primates; Hominidae. The record is from RNAcentral.